Molecule: long non-coding RNA, 753 nt
Organism: Stegodyphus dumicola
Lineage: Eukaryota; Metazoa; Arthropoda; Arachnida; Araneae; Eresidae
Source: RefSeq, a predicted model, not a curated record
GAGAGAUGGACGAGGGAAACGAAAGAGAACAGUCAUGUUUUCGACUAAGACGUAUUAAUAGAUGGCGAAGCUGUUAACUUCUCAAUUAUAACUCUUUCUUUCAUUUGUAAAUACUCAUCACUGUAUCUCCAUCAAUAACUAAAUAAAUACUUAGUCACCUAAAUGUGUGUCGUCAGCGUAGAAAUCCCCUAGACGCCGAGUUUACAUGGGCGCUUCGACCGGUUCUUCUUCAGUAAAGAUUUUGUUGUAACUCCAUCAUCGCCAGGAGGCCCUAUCGUGUCAGGAUACCUGAGUGUGAGUAGCAGGAGUGCAACAACUCAACACAACGAAAGGCAUUGCAGUGAGACGAGAGAUGGACGAGGGAAACGAAAGAGAACAGUCAUGUUUUCGACUAAGACGUAUUAAUAGAUGGCGAAGCUGUUAACAUCUCAAUUAUAACUCUUUUUUCAUUUGUAAAUACUCAUCACUGUAUCUCCAUCAAUAACUAAAUAAAUACUUAGUCACCUAAAUGUGUGUCGUCAGCGUAGAAAUCCCCUAGACGCCGAGUUUACAUAUAAAUCUAAAUAAAAUGCAAUAAAGAUGAAUGAAACAUUAAUGAACUGAAUAAAUAAUAAAUAUGUAAAAUUUAAACUAAAUAAAAAUCUGAAAAUGUUUCAGGUUAUAUUUCCCUCCUAGUCUUUUCAACAUAUUUAUAGACGGUCUUCACAUGUUUUUCGAUGUAUAAGAACAUAGUUCGGUGCAAUUUAUCAAAAA